GAUGAACGCUGGCGGCGUGCCUAAUACAUGCAAGUCGAGCGAACAGACGAGGAGCUUGCUCCUCUGACGUUAGCGGCGGACGGGUGAGUAACACGUGGAUAACCUACCUAUAAGACUGGGAUAACUUCGUGAAACCGGAGCUAAUACCGGAUAAUAUAUUGAACCGCAUGGUUCAAUAGUGAAAUACGGUUUUGCUGUCACUUCUAGAUGGAUCCGCGCCGCAUUAGCUAGUUGGUAAGGUAACGGCUUACCAAGGCGACGAUGCGUAGCCGACCUGAGAGGGGGAUAGGCAAAACUGGAACUGAGACACGGUACAGACGCCUACGGGAGGCAGCAGUAGGGAAUAUUCCGCAAUGGGCGAAAGCAUGACGGAGCAACGCCGCGUGAGUGAUGAAGGUCUUCGGAUCGUAAAACUCUGUUAUGAGGGAAGAACAAAUGUGUAAGUAAAUAUGCACGUCUUGACGGUAACUAAUCAGAAAGCAACGGCUAACUACGUG
This 497-nucleotide ribosomal RNA is filed under the name uncultured bacterium. RNAcentral describes it as "partial 16S ribosomal RNA". It matches the Rfam family "Bacterial small subunit ribosomal RNA", at positions 28 to 507 of the family's 1533-position model. The record is from RNAcentral.